Molecule: ribosomal RNA, 452 nt
Filed under: uncultured bacterium
Lineage: Bacteria
Description: bacterial SSU rRNA
Rfam family: Bacterial small subunit ribosomal RNA
Source: RNAcentral
AACGAACGCUGGCGGCAUGCCUAACACAUGCAAGUCGAACGAACUCUUCGGAGUUAGUGGCGCACGGGUGCGUAACGCGUGGGAAUCUGCCCUUGGGUACGGAAUAACUCAGAGAAAUUUGUGCUAAUACCGUAUAAUGACUUCGGUCCAAAGAUUUAUCGCCCAAGGAUGAGCCCGCGUAAGAUUAGCUAGUUGGUGGGGUAAAAGCCUACCAAGGCGACGAUCUUUAGCUGGUCUGAGAGGAUGAUCAGCCACACUGGGACUGAGACACGGCCCAGACUCCUACGGGAGGCAGCAGUGGGGAAUAUUGGACAAUGGGCGAAAGCCUGAUCCAGCAAUGCCGCGUGAGUGAUGAAGGCCUUAGGGUUGUAAAGCUCUUUUACCCGGGAUGAUAAUGACAGUACCGGGAGGAAUAAGACUCCGGCUAACUCCGUGCCAGCAGCCGCGGUAAU